GACGAAGGAUGCAAGCGUUAUCCGGAUUCAUUGGGUUUAAAGGGAGCGUAGGCGGCCUUAUAAGUCAGUGGUGAAAUCUUUGGGCUUAACCCAAAAAAUUGCCAUUGAUACUGUAGGGCUUGAGUACAGUUGCUGUGGGCGGAAUAUGACAUGUAGUGGUGAAAUACAUAGAGAUGUCAUAGAACACCGAUUGCGAAGGCAGCUCACAAAACUGUAACUGACGCUGAGGCUCGAAAGUGCGGGGAUCAAACAGG
Molecule: ribosomal RNA, 254 nt
Filed under: uncultured bacterium
Lineage: Bacteria
Description: partial 16S ribosomal RNA
Rfam family: Bacterial small subunit ribosomal RNA
Source: RNAcentral